GCUUGCUCUAAGUCUGGUUAGUUGUAGUGUUCCACAUUUCUUUUCUUAUCAUGCUGUGCCUUAGACUGAACAUGUCCAAAUGAAAGGCAUAAAACCCCGGAGAGGUGGAGAAGUAGUUGCAUGAGUGCUUCUCUAGAGCCAGAGUUGUUCCUGUUGGACCUCACGCAUUAAAAACCCCAUUCAUGUUUCUACCAUCACUAAUUGUCCACAAGUAAGGAUCCGUGAUUUUCAAAGGACUUCAAAAAAGAACUGUUGUCUUCAAACAUGCAAAUCCACCCUCCCUAAUUUUCUGUUUCUCUCUCCGUCUGUGGCCAGGGGCAAUGUCUUCUACCUCCUCUAUGUGGUGGGAGGACUCCUGCUGACAGUCACUGCUCUCAUAAAUAAUAUUCAUUUAUUUUGUUUGGCAAAUUCCAGCCCUGUCUUCAUCGAAUAUUAUUACCUGGCCUCUGUGUGUUCCAGUUUCAACAGCCUCCUUGUUAUGACAAGAACAACACUGCAAGGAACUCCUGAUUAUAAGGUUUUAUGCUGGUUUCCUGCGUCCCCUGAGAAGCCAACUAACCUGGAGUUGACCUCUGCUAACUGCAUCUCAGCGAAAAGGAAAUCUAUCUGACUUUCUGGAGAAACACAGUCCUCAUUACCACUCCCUUGACUUUUGACCACAAAUUCUUUCCCUGGCGGUUCCACAUCGCUGCAGUCAGAACUGCUGAAUCUGGAGUCUGAUGUUUGUUCAGUG
Siniperca chuatsi (mandarin fish) is the source of this 733-nucleotide long non-coding RNA. RefSeq lists it as uncharacterized. The transcript is spliced from 3 exons. NCBI's taxonomy places the organism in Eukaryota, Metazoa, Chordata, Actinopteri, Centrarchiformes, Sinipercidae. The record is from RefSeq and is a predicted model, not a curated record.